CGCUGGCGGCGUGCUUAACACAUGCGAGUCGAGCGAUGAGGCCGAGCUUGCUAGGUGGAUUAGUGGCGAACGGGGGAGUAAUACGUGAGUAACCUAGCUUGAACUCUGGGAUAAGCCUGGGAAACUGGGGCUAAUACCGGAUACGACCAAUCUCCGCAUGGGGUGUUGGUGGAAAGCGUUAUGUAGUGGUUAUAGAUGGGCUCACGGCCUAUCAGCUUGUUGGUGAGGUAACGGCUCACCAAGGCGACGACGGGUAGCCGGCCUGAGAGGGUGACCGGCCACACUGGGACUGAGACACGGCCCAGACUCCUACGGGAGGCAGCAGUGGGGAAUAUUGCACAAUGGGCGCAAGCCUGAUGCAGCGACGCCGCGUGAGGGAUGACGGCCUUCGGGUUGUAAACCUCUGUUAGCAGGGAAGAAGAGAAAUUGACGGUACCUGCAGAGAAAGCGCCGGCUAACUACGUGCCAGCAGCCGCGGUAAUACGUAGGGCGCGAGCGUUGUCCGGAAUUAUUGGGCGUAAAGAGCUUGUAGGCGGUUUGUCGCGUCUGCUGUGAAGGCCGGGGCUUAACCCCGUGUAUUGCAGUGGGUACGGGCAGACUAGAGUGCAGUAGGGGAGACUGGAACUCCUGGUGUAGCGGUGGAAUGCGCAGAUAUCAGGAAGAACACCGAUGGCGAAGGCAGGUCUCUGGGCUGUAACUGACGCUGAGAAGCGAAAGCAUGGGGAGCGAACAGGAUUAGAUACCCUGGUAGUCCAUGCCGUAAACGUUGGGCACUAGGUGUGGGGGACAUUCCACGUUUUCCGCGCCGUAGCUAACGCAUUAAGUGCCCCGCCUGGGGAGUACGGCCGCAAGGCUAAAACUCAAAGAAAUUGACGGGGGCCCGCACAAGCGGCGGAGCAUGCGGAUUAAUUCGAUGCAACGCGAAGAACCUUACCAAGGCUUGACAUAUACUGGACCGCAUCAGAGAUGGUGUUUCCCUUCGGGGCUGGUAUACAGGUGGUGCAUGGUUGUCGUCAGCUCGUGUCGUGAGAUGUUGGGUUAAGUCCCGCAACGAGCGCAACCCUCGUUCUAUGUUGCCAGCACGUUAUGGUGGGGACUCAUAGGAGACUGCCGGGGUCAACUCGGAGGAAGGUGGGGAUGACGUCAAAUCAUCAUGCCCCUUAUGUCUUGGGCUUCACGCAUGCUACAAUGGCCGGUACAGAGGGUUGCGAUACUGUGAGGUGGAGCUAAUCCCUAAAAGCCGGUCUCAGUUCGGAUUGGGGUCUGCAACUCGACCCCAUGAAGUCGGAGUCGCUAGUAAUCGCAGAUCAGCAACGCUGCGGUGAAUACGUUCCCGGGCCU
RNAcentral lists this ribosomal RNA (1341 nucleotides) under uncultured bacterium. RNAcentral's name for it is "16S ribosomal RNA". It matches the Rfam family "Bacterial small subunit ribosomal RNA", at positions 34 to 1381 of the family's 1533-position model. The record is from RNAcentral.